GAUGAACGCUGGCGGCGUGCCUAAUACAUGCAAGUCGAGCGAACGGACGAGAAGCUUGCUUCUCUGAUGUUAGCGGCGGACGGGUGCGUAACACGUGGAUAACCUACCUAUAAGACUGGGAUAACUACGGGAAACCGGAGCUAAUACCGGAUAAUAUUUUGAACCGCAUGGUUCAAAAGUUAAAGACGGUCUUGCUGUCACUUAUAGAUGGAUCCGCGCUGCAUUAGCUAGUUGGUAAGGUAAAGGCUUACCAAGGCAACGAUGCAUAGCCGACCUGAGCGGGUGAUCGGCCAGACGGGAAGUGAGACACGGUCCAGACUCCUGCGGGAGGCAGCGGUAGGGAAUCUUCCGCGAUGGACGAAAGCCGGACGGAGCAACGCCGCGUGAGUGAUGAAGGUCUUCGGAUCGUAAAACGCUGUUAUUAGGAAAGAACAUAUGUGUAAGUAACUGUGCACAUCUUGACGGUACCUAAUCAGAAAGCCACGGCUAACUACGUG
Molecule: ribosomal RNA, 497 nt
Filed under: uncultured bacterium
Lineage: Bacteria
Description: partial 16S ribosomal RNA
Rfam family: Bacterial small subunit ribosomal RNA
Source: RNAcentral